AACGAACGCUGGCGGCAUGCCUAACACAUGCAAGUCGAACGAGACCUUCGGGUCUCGUGGCGCACGGGUGCGUAACGCGUGGGAACCUGCCCUUAGGUUCGGAAUAACUCCCCGAAAGGGGUGCUAAUACCGGAUAAUGUCUUCGGACCAAAGAUUUAUCGCCUUUGGAUGGGCCCGCGUUGGAUUAGCUAGUUGGUAGGGUAAAAGCCUACCAAGGCGACGAUCCAUAGCUGGUCUGAGAGGAUGAUCAGCCACACUGGGACUGAGACACGGCCCAGACUCCUACGGGAGGCAGCAGUGGGGAAUAUUGGACAAUGGGCGAAAGCCUGAUCUAGCAAUGCCGCGUGAGUGAUGAAGGCCUUAGGGUUGUAAAGCUCUUUUACCCGGGAUGAUAAUGACAGUACCGGGAGAAUAAGCGCCGGCUAACUCCGUG
RNAcentral lists this ribosomal RNA (433 nucleotides) under uncultured bacterium. RNAcentral's name for it is "partial 16S ribosomal RNA". It matches the Rfam family "Bacterial small subunit ribosomal RNA", at positions 29 to 507 of the family's 1533-position model. The record is from RNAcentral.